AGAGUUUGAUCAUGGCUCAGGAUGAACGCUAGCUACAGGCUUAACACAUGCAAGUCGAGGGGAAACGAUAUUGGAAGCUUGCUUCCGAUAGGCGUCGACCGGCGCACGGGUGAGUAACGCGUAUCCAACCUGCCCACCACUUGGGGAUAACCUUGCGAAAGUAAGACCUAAUACCCAACGACGUCUCUAGAAGACAUCUGAAAGAGAUUAAAGAUUUAUCGGUGAUGGAGUGGGGAGUGCGUCUGAUUAGCUUGUUGGCGGGGUAACGGCCACCAAGGCUACGAUCAGUAGGGGUUCUGAGAGGAAGGUCCCCCACAUUGGAACUGAGACACGGUCCAAACUCCUACGGGAGGCA
RNAcentral lists this ribosomal RNA (355 nucleotides) under uncultured bacterium. RNAcentral describes it as "bacterial SSU rRNA". It matches the Rfam family "Bacterial small subunit ribosomal RNA", at positions 8 to 350 of the family's 1533-position model. The record is from RNAcentral.